UCGUUCCAGUAUCGGCUAGGGUUGGAGUGCACAGCCUAAGCUAAUUCCGACUGGCUAUUUUAAAGAGAGCAGGGGUAUGACCUGGAGUGGCAGGAAGUGACUCUCCAGGGGAGCUAAAAUCCAUGUAUUUGGGCACACACUUGAACAAUAUUGCUAGAGAAAUUUAAGCAAGAACACAAAGAAAGAAUCAUCUGAAAGGAAUGUGGAGAUCAGAGAAAAAUGAUGGGAAAGUUACCACAGCCUGCAAAUGAGAAAUGAUGAGAGCCUGCCUGGGGUAAGGCAGUUGUGUGGGAUGGAA
Symphalangus syndactylus (siamang) is the source of this 298-nucleotide long non-coding RNA. RefSeq lists it as uncharacterized. NCBI's taxonomy places the organism in Eukaryota, Metazoa, Chordata, Mammalia, Primates, Hylobatidae. The record is from RefSeq and is a predicted model, not a curated record.